ACGGGUGAGUAACACGUGAGUAACCUGCCCUUAACUCUGGGAUAAGCCUGGGAAACUGGGUCUAAUACCGGAUAUGACUCCUCAUCGCAUGGUGGGGGGUGGAAAGCUUUUGUGGUUUUGGAUGGACUCGCGGCCUAUCAGCUUGUUGGUGAGGUAAUGGCUCACCAAGGCGACGACGGGUAGCCGGCCUGAGAGGGUGACCGGCCACACUGGGACUGAGACACGGCCCAGACUCCUACGGGAGGCAGCAGUGGGGAAUAUUGCACAAUGGGCGGAAGCCUGAUGCAGCGACGCCGCGUGAGGGAUGACGGCCUUCGGGUUGUAAACCUCUUUCAGUAGGGAAGAAGCGAGAGUGACGGUACCUGCAGAAGAAGCGCCGGCUAACUACGUGCCAGCAGCCGCGGUAAUACGUAGGGCGCAAGCGUUAUCCGGAAUUAUUGGGCGUAAAGAGCUCGUAGGCGGUUUGUCGCGUCUGCCGUGAAAGUCCGGGGCUCAACUCCGGAUCUGCGGUGGGUACGGGCAGACUAGAGUGAUGUAGGGGAGACUGGAAUUCCUGGUGUAGCGGUGAAAUGCGCAGA
Molecule: ribosomal RNA, 578 nt
Filed under: uncultured bacterium
Lineage: Bacteria
Description: bacterial SSU rRNA
Rfam family: Bacterial small subunit ribosomal RNA
Source: RNAcentral